GGGAUUGCCCUAGUAACGGCGAGUGAAGCGGCAACAGCUCAAAUUUGAAAUCUGGCGCAAGCCCGAAUUGUAAUUUGUAGAGGAUGCUUCUGGGUAGCGACCGGUCUAAGUUCCUUGGAACAGGACGUCAGAGAGGGUGAGAAUCCCGUAUGUGACCGGCCCGCACCCUCCACGUAGCUCCUUCGACGAGUCGAGUUGUUUGGGAAUGCAGCUCUAAAUGGGAGGUAAAUUUCUUCUAAAGCUAAAUACCGGCCAGAGACCGAUAGCGCACACGUAGAGUGAUCGAAAGAUGAAAAGUACUUUGGAAAGAGAGUUAAACAGCACGUGAAAUUGUUGAAAGGGAAGCGCCUGCAAUCAGACUUCGCGGCAGUGUUCCGCCGGCCUUCUGGCCGGUUCAUUCUCUGUCGUGAGGCCAUCAUCGUCUCGGCCCGCUGGAUAAGACCUGGGGAAUGUAGCUCACCUUCGGGGGAGUGUUAUAGCUUCGGGUGAUGCAGCGCGGCGGGGGCGAGGUCCGCGCUUCGGCAAGGAUGAUGGCGUAAUGGUUGUCGGCGGCCCGUCUUGAAACACGGACCAAGGAGUCUAACAUCUAUGCGAGUGUUCGGGUGUCAAACCCCUACGCGUAAUGAAAGUGAACGGAGGUGGGAACCGCAAGGUGCACCAUCGACCGAUCCUGAUGUCCUCGGAUGGAUUUGAGUAAGAGCAUAGCUGUUGGGACCCGAAAGAUGGUGAACUAUGCCUGAAUAGGGUGAAGCCAGAGGAAACUCUGGUGGAGGCUCGCAGCGGUUCUGACGUGCAAAUCGAUCGUCAAAUUUGGGUAUAGGGGCG
RNAcentral lists this ribosomal RNA (825 nucleotides) under Sphaerulina quercicola. Its description in RNAcentral is "eukaryotic LSU rRNA". It matches the Rfam family "Eukaryotic large subunit ribosomal RNA", at positions 71 to 925 of the family's 3401-position model. Lineage: Eukaryota; Fungi; Ascomycota; Dothideomycetes; Mycosphaerellales; Mycosphaerellaceae. The record is from RNAcentral.